Molecule: unclassified non-coding RNA, 353 nt
Filed under: soil metagenome
Description: partial contains 5.8S ribosomal RNA, internal transcribed spacer 2, and large subunit ribosomal RNA
Rfam family: 5.8S ribosomal RNA (bases 1-120)
Source: RNAcentral
GAUGAAGAACGUAGCGAAAUGCGAUAAGUAAUGUGAAUUGCAGAAUUCAGUGAAUCAUCGAAUCUUUGAACGCACAUUGCGCCCGCCAGUAUUCUGGCGGGCAUGCCUGUUCGAGCGUCAUUACAGCCCUCAGGCCCCCGGGCCUGGCGUUGGGGAUCGGCGGAAGCCCCCUGCGGGCACAACGCCGUCCCCCAAAUACAGUGGCGGUCCCGCCGCAGCUUCCAUUGCGUAGUAGCUAACACCUCGCAACUGGAGAGCGGCGCGGCCACGCCGUAAAACACCCAACUUCUGAAUGUUGAACUCGAAUCAGGUAGGAAUACCCGCUGAACUUAAGCAUAUCAAUAAGCGGAGGA